This 373-nucleotide ribosomal RNA is filed under the name uncultured organism. RNAcentral describes it as "partial 16S ribosomal RNA". It matches the Rfam family "Bacterial small subunit ribosomal RNA", at positions 527 to 896 of the family's 1533-position model. The record is from RNAcentral.
GUAGGUGGCAAGCGUUGUCCGGAAUUAUUGGGCGUAAAGCGCGCGCAGGCGGUUCUUUAAGUCUGAUGUGAAAGCCCACGGCUCAACCGUGGAGGGUCAUUGGAAACUGGAGAACUUGAGUACAGAAGAGGAAAGCGGAAUUCCACGUGUAGCGGUGAAAUACGUAGAGAUGUGGAGGAACACCAGUGGCGAAGGCGGCUUUCUGGUCUGUAACUGACGCUGAGGCGCGAAAGCGUGGGGAGCAAACAGGGAUUAGAUACCCUGGUAGUCCACGCCGUAAACGAUGAGUGCUAAGUGUUAGGGGGUUUCCCGCCCCUUAGUGCUGCAGCUAACGCAUUAAGCACUCCGCCUGGGGAGUACGGCCGCAAGGCUG